GCUAACAGUGGCGGCUGAUCCCGGACCUCCUUCGGGGAGACCAGCAAGCGGCCAAUGGCUGUCGAUAUUCAACCAGCCUGCCUUGGACUUUACUGUGGGAAGACCCUAUUAUUUAAAAAUGGUUCAACUGAAAUAUAUGGAGAAUGUGGGGUGUGUCCAAGAGGACAGAGAACAAAUGCACAGAAAUACUGUCAGCCAUGCACAGAGUCUCCAGAACUUUAUGACUGGCUGUAUCUUGGAUUUAUGGCUAUGCUUCCCCUUGUUUUACAUUGGUUCUUCAUCGAAUGGUAUUCAGGGAA
Long non-coding RNA from Enhydra lutris kenyoni (northern sea otter), 299 nucleotides. RefSeq lists it as uncharacterized. The transcript has 3 exons. The record is from RefSeq and is a predicted model, not a curated record. NCBI's taxonomy places the organism in Eukaryota, Metazoa, Chordata, Mammalia, Carnivora, Mustelidae.